UCCGCCAGGACCAAUGAGGGCAGGCGCUGAGCGGAGUGUGUUGUCUCCUGUUGCUGUGAACGGGAUAUUUUAGGAGUCUGGAGAGCAGCGAGCGUCUCACCCCGACAGGAGCUCGAGCUCUGCGCACGUCCGCCCGUCUGUGUUUCUGUUUGAACCCACACAGGCUGCGACUGCAGGCGAGCUGGAGAAGCGCUAGAUCGCUGUGAGUACGGUGGAUGAGGCACCCAGGAAAGGAUAUCACGGUGGGCAGAGGAAAGGAGGCUUUAAAAACUGCUGCUCGACAAAAUUUUUGAAAGCAGGAGUCUGAGGGCGAUGUGGAGGAUCAGAUCAGCUCUGAUUUAAACUGAGAGCUGAAUCGGCCGUGGCCCAAUCGGCAGCAGCUCCUUCCCCGUGAGAGAGACCAAACCAUUCAACAACGUCGAAAGUUGCUUACUUCAAGAGGAAAUAUGCGGAGGAGGAGGAUUUACACAGAGGCCUACGUGGAUAUUUUCAAAAACACUUGAUACUGCAGGAGGACCGGAGCUGCAUCCUGAGGCUGUCCCUGGAGAAACUAAGGUUCCUGGAAGAUCCCGAGGCCUACCUGAGGCGCUCCGUCCUCAUCAACAACCUGCUGAGAAAAAUCCACCAUGAGGAGGAGGAGCUGGAGGCUGAGGAGGAGGAAGAAGAAGAUGAAGUAGAUGAAGAGGAAGAAGAGGAGGGAGUUAUCGGGGAUAGGGGGCAGCGGAGGCUGAUGUACCCAGACAGGAAGAGAGUGAAGGUGCUGGUGACAGACUGCUGCUCCCCGGGCUUUGGCCUGGAGGAGCUGCAGCACUACCGGCUGGUGCCGUGUUACCCGUCAGCUGGUUGCCUGUACAGCCUGGGUACCUGCCCGGGCCUCACCCCAAACCACCAGGUCCUCCUGUACAACCUGGAUGACAAUGGCUGACUCUCUGCUCCUCACCGCCAGGCCUCUUUUCAAAGCUGGGAACUGCAGCGUCGGUUCAUGUCACAGGCAUGUGGACUCGCACUGUUUGCUCCAACCAGCAGGAGGAAAGCUGCUGCUGCUGCUGCUGUUUUUCUCCCUGUUCGCUAAAAAUGCUUUGAGGGGAAUGUGUCGCAGGCUCUGUUUCGUGCAUCAGCAGGACGUCGCCUCUUCUCGUCACCUUGCUGAGAAGCAGUGGUGGAUUCAAGAAUCUGAGAGACCAUUUUCUUCUUCUGCCUCAGGAGUGUUGAUAUUAAACUCUGCAGCAGCAUUACUGCUAUUUACUGUUUGUGCAAAUGUAAGAGACUUUAAGCAGGCAGCAUUUUUUUUAAAUUCUUUGCAGCUGUAGUAUUAUUGAUUUUUAUUGUUACUGUUGCUCAUGUAAACUGUGAGCGCAUUCAGGGAUUUACAGACUUCUGGCUACUUUUGAUGCACCUUGGCUUGCGUGGAGAAUAUUUGCUGAUUUGCUUCUGUUAUCUUUUUAUGCUACUGUGUGAUUUAUGAAAUAUUCUGUGUAACAUUCCCUGGAUCGUGUGAAUUCUAAUGCUAUG
Molecule: long non-coding RNA, 1512 nt
Organism: Pundamilia nyererei
Lineage: Eukaryota; Metazoa; Chordata; Actinopteri; Cichliformes; Cichlidae
Exons: 4
Source: RefSeq, a predicted model, not a curated record